CAUAGCCGAGUUGAGAGACUGAUGGCCACAUUGGGACUGAGACACGGUCCCAAACUCCUACGGGAGGCAGCAGUAGGGAAUCUUCCACAAUGGACGCAAGUCUGAUGGAGCAACGCCGCGUGAGUGAAGAAGGGUUUCGGCUCGUAAAGCUCUGUUGGUAGUGAAGAAAGAUAGAGGUAGUAACUGGCCUUUAUUUGACGGUAAUUACUUAGAAAGUCACGGCUAACUACGUGCCAGCAGCCGCGGUAAU
RNAcentral lists this ribosomal RNA (250 nucleotides) under uncultured Lactobacillus sp. Its description in RNAcentral is "partial 16S ribosomal RNA". It matches the Rfam family "Bacterial small subunit ribosomal RNA", at positions 282 to 524 of the family's 1533-position model. Lineage: Bacteria; Bacillati; Bacillota; Bacilli; Lactobacillales; Lactobacillaceae. The record is from RNAcentral.